This 64-nucleotide transfer RNA is filed under the name Hishimonus phycitis. RNAcentral's name for it is "tRNA-Phe". The record is from RNAcentral. Lineage: Eukaryota; Metazoa; Arthropoda; Insecta; Hemiptera; Cicadellidae.
AUUUUUGUAGCUUAUAACAAGAGCUAUUCAGUGAAGUUGAAGGGGAGAUUUUUAUCCAAAAAUA